Molecule: ribosomal RNA, 329 nt
Filed under: uncultured eukaryote
Lineage: Eukaryota
Description: partial 18S ribosomal RNA
Rfam family: Eukaryotic small subunit ribosomal RNA
Source: RNAcentral
CCCUUAGAUGUCCUGGGCCGCACGCGCGCUACACUGAGUGUCUGAGAUACGAGUCUGCCUGGUCCGGCAAGGUCUAGGUAAUCGCUAAAAGACACAGCAUGCUUGGGAUAGAUUAUUGCAAAUAUUAAUCUUGAACGAGGAAUUCCUAGUAAGCGCAAGUCAACAGCUUGCGUUGAUUACGUCCCUGCCCUUUGUACACACCGCCCGUCGCUACUACUGAUUGGAUGUUUAAGCGAGGUUCUCGAACUGCUAGCGACUUAGCUUCGGUGAGGUCGCAGUGUGGGAAGUGAACCUAGCUUUGGUGUCUAGAGGAAGUAAAAGUCGUAACA